UACGGAGGGUGCAAGCGUUAUCCGGAGUUACUGGGUUUAAAGGGUGCGUAGGCGGGCCUGUAAGUCAGUGGUGAAAUCUUCCCGCUUAACGGGAAAACUGCCAUUGAUACUAUAGGUCUUGAAUUCAGUUGAGGUGGGCGGAAUGUGUCGUGUAGCGGUGAAAUGCUUAGAUAUGACACAGAACACCGAUUGCGAAGGCAGCUCGCUAAACUGACAUUGACGCUGAGGCACGAAAGCGUGGGGAUCAAACAGG
This 253-nucleotide ribosomal RNA is filed under the name uncultured bacterium. Its description in RNAcentral is "partial 16S ribosomal RNA". It matches the Rfam family "Bacterial small subunit ribosomal RNA", at positions 524 to 776 of the family's 1533-position model. The record is from RNAcentral.